Molecule: ribosomal RNA, 565 nt
Filed under: uncultured bacterium
Lineage: Bacteria
Description: partial 16S ribosomal RNA
Rfam family: Bacterial small subunit ribosomal RNA
Source: RNAcentral
UGGGGAAUUUUGGACAAUGGGCGAAAGCCUGAUCCAGCAAUGCCGCGUGUGUGAAGAAGGCCUUCGGGUUGUAAAGCACUUUUGUCCGGAAAGAAAUCCUUGGCUCUAAUACAGUCGGGGGAUGACGGUACCGGAAGAAUAAGCACCGGCUAACUACGUGCCAGCAGCCGCGGUAAUACGUAGGGUGCAAGCGUUAAUCGGAAUUACUGGGCGUAAAGCGUGCGCAGGCGGUUUGCUAAGACCGAUGUGAAAUCCCCGGGCUCAACCUGGGAACUGCAUUGGUGACUGGCAGGCUAGAGUAUGGCAGAGGGGGGUAGAAUUCCACGUGUAGCAGUGAAAUGCGUAGAGAUGUGGAGGAAUACCGAUGGCGAAGGCAGCCCCCUGGGCCAAUACUGACGCUCAUGCACGAAAGCGUGGGGGAGCAAAACAGGAUUAGAUACCCUGGUAGUCCACGCCCUAAACGAUGUCAACUAGUUGUUGGGGACUUCAUUUCCUUAGUAACAGCUAACGCGUGAAGUUGACCGCCUGGGGAGUACGGUCGCAAGAUUAAAACUCAAAUGAAUUG